Non-coding RNA from Paramormyrops kingsleyae, 468 nucleotides. NCBI's taxonomy places the organism in Eukaryota, Metazoa, Chordata, Actinopteri, Osteoglossiformes, Mormyridae. The record is from RefSeq and is a predicted model, not a curated record.
UAUAAUGUGCCUUUAUCUUGCUCUGCAUUUCUAGAUCAGCCUUCCUGGGGGAACAAGAGGCGCUGGGCCCCAUACCACAGGGACUGGGAUAACCAGAGCUUGGCCCAUAAACAAAAGCGCCUUGAUGACCCUGCCCUCCAUAAUAAUGGCCGACCAGUAUUCAAAAAUCGGCCUACCAGAGGGAAGAAGAGGCGCUGGAGACCACGCCAAAGUAUGUGGCGUUCCCAGAGGACGGUCUGGAAAAAUGAAGACCGUUCUGCCCGCGCCAAUUCCCGGCAGAUCUUAAAAUCCUUUACGGGUUUUAAAGUUAACUCAUCUGGGGCCGAAUCCACCAUCCUGGACCUUUGCAACGCCCUGAUGUCCUUAACUCUCUCUUGAGAAGGAGGAAAAGAGACAGGAGAGACUGACAGGAUGUGAUAACAUCAAAACGUUCUGUGAACCUUUAAUAAAAUAAAAAUUUCAAACAGA